GACAGAGGGUGCGAACGUUGUUCGGAAUUACUGGGCGUAAAGCGCGUGUAGGCGGCAACGCAGGUCGGGCGUGAAAUCCCACGGCUCAACCGUGGAAGUGCACUCGAAACUGCGUAGCUAGAGUCCUGGAGAGGAAGGUGGAAUGCUUGGUGUAGAGGUGAAAUUCGUAGAUAUCAAGCGGAACACCGGUGGCGAAGGCGGCCUUCUGGACAGUGACUGACGCUGAGACGCGAAAGCGUGGGGAGCAAACAGGG
Molecule: ribosomal RNA, 254 nt
Filed under: uncultured bacterium
Lineage: Bacteria
Description: partial 16S ribosomal RNA
Rfam family: Bacterial small subunit ribosomal RNA
Source: RNAcentral